GAGUCUAGCAUGUGCGCGAGUCAUUGGGACUUGAUAAACCUAAAGGCGAAAUGAAAGUAAAGGCGUGCCUUGCGCAUGCUUAGGGAGGAUGGGUCGUGCCACGGCACGGCCCCGCACUCCCGAGGCGUCUCGUGCUCAUUGCGAGUUGAGGCGCACUCAGAGCGUACACGCUGGGACCCAAAGAUGGUGAACUAUGCCUGGUCAGGACGAAGUCAGGGGAAACCCUGAUGGAGGUCCGUAGCGAUUCUGACGUGCAAAUCGAUCGUCGGAACUGGGUAUAGGGGCGAAAGACUAAUCGAACCAUCUAGUAGCUGGUUCCCUCCGAAGUUUCCCUCAGGAUAGCUGGCGCUCGCUUUUGCGAGUCUCAUCCGGUAAAGCGAAUGAUUAGAGGCAUUGGGGUCGAAACGGCCUCAACCUAUUCUCAAACUUUAAAUGGGUGAGAUCUCCGGCUUGCUUAAAGCAUGAAGCCGCGAGAUCGGAUCAGAGUGCCAAGUGGGCCACUUUUGGUAAGCAGAACUGGCGCUGUGGGAUGAACCAAACGCCGAGUUAAAGCGCCCAAAUCGACGCUUAUGGGAUACCAUAAAAGGCGUUGGUAACUUAAGACAGCAGGACGGUGGCCAUGGAAGUCG
This 629-nucleotide ribosomal RNA is filed under the name Anotylus sculpturatus. Its description in RNAcentral is "eukaryotic LSU rRNA". It matches the Rfam family "Eukaryotic large subunit ribosomal RNA", at positions 671 to 1263 of the family's 3401-position model. The record is from RNAcentral. Lineage: Eukaryota; Metazoa; Arthropoda; Insecta; Coleoptera; Staphylinidae.